Molecule: ribosomal RNA, 253 nt
Filed under: uncultured bacterium
Lineage: Bacteria
Description: partial 16S ribosomal RNA
Rfam family: Bacterial small subunit ribosomal RNA
Source: RNAcentral
UACGGGGGGGGCGAGCGUUGUUCGGAAUUACUGGGCGUAAAGGGCGUGUAGGCGGGAAGGAAAGUCAGAUGUGAAAUCCCUGGGCUCAACCCAGGAACUGCAUUUGAAACUCCCUUUCUUGAGUGUCGGAGAGGAAAGCGGAAUUCCUGGUGUAGAGGUGAAAUUCGUAGAUAUCAGGAGGAACACCGGUGGCGAAGGCGGCUUUCUGGACGACAACUGACGCUGAGACGCGAAAGCGUGGGGAGCAAACAGG